AUAGCGUAUAUUAAAGUUGUUGCGGUUAAAAAGCUCGUAGUUGGAUUCCUGUUGAGGAUGGCCGGUCCGCACUAUGUGCGUGUAUCUGGCUCAGCCUUGGCAUCCUCUUGAGGAACGUAUCUACGCUUGAUUGCGUGGAGCGGUAUUCAAGACUUUUACUUUGAGGAAAUUAGAGUGUUCACGGCAGGCAAGCGCCCUGAAUAUAUUAGCAUGGAAUAAUAAUAUAGGAUCUUGGUUCUAUUUUGUUGGUUUCUAGAGCUAAGGUAAUGAUUAAUAGGGAUAAUUGGGGGCAUUUGUAUUAACGCGUCAGAGGUGGAAUUCUUGGAUUGCGUUACGACAAACUACUGCGAAAGCAUUUGCCAAGGAUGUUUUCAUUGAUCAAGAACGAAAGUAUGGGGAUCGAAGAUGAUUAGAUACCGUCGUAGUCUAUACCAUAAACUAUGCCGACUAGGGAUUGGAGGUCGUUCUUUUUAUGACUCCUUCAGCACCUUAUGAGAAAUCAAAGUCUUUGGGUUCCGGGGGGAGUAUAGUCGCAAGGCUGAAACUUAAAGGAAUUGACGGAAGGGCACCACCAGGAGUGGAGCCUGCGGCUUAAUUUGACUCAACACGGGGAAACUCACCAGGUCCAGACAUAGUAAGGAUUGACAGAUUGAUAGCUCUUUCCUGAUUCUAUGGGUGGUGGUGCAUGGCCGUUCUUAGUUGGUGGAGUGAUUUGUCUGGUUUAUUUCGAUAACGAACGAGAUCUUAACCUGCUAAAUAGUGAUAAGUAUCUCCGGAUAUUUAAACACUUCUUAGAGGGACUUUGUGGUUUCAACUGCAAGGAAGUUUGAGGCAAUAACAGGUCUGUGAUGCCCUUAGAUGUUCUGGGCUGCACGCGCGCUACACUGAUGCGUUCAACGAGUUUAUAACCUUGCCCGGUAAGGGUUGGGUAAUCUUUUGAAACGCAUCGUGAUGGGGAUAGAUUAUUGUAAUUAUUAAUCU
This 981-nucleotide ribosomal RNA is filed under the name uncultured marine alveolate. RNAcentral describes it as "SSU rRNA". It matches the Rfam family "Eukaryotic small subunit ribosomal RNA", at positions 594 to 1599 of the family's 1831-position model. The record is from RNAcentral.